CGAGGCGGGGAGCGAGGAGGGCGGGGCCGCCGGCGGAGCGGAGGGGCCAUGGCCCUGGGCUGGAGGGAAGUGUUCAUAAGGAACGUACUGAAACGUCUCUAUCCUGAAACUUCAUCAUCUCUUGUGCAUACUUCGAGUGGAAAGGAGGAGGUGGUUCUCAGAAAUCCGGGCUCAAAAUCCGGAGAGAAGGACUUGGAAAAUGUUCAGACUCUGUCAGCAGCUGCCAGUACAUCAAGUGAUGCACCCAGCAAAUCAUUUCAAGGUAAUGACAAUACAGUUCUGCCUCCAAGGAGAAUGUACACAGUGAAUCUUCCUCCUGAGGGUUAUGUUGCAGUUACUCAAGAUACUAAUAGUAUUUCAGUUUCUGAAAACUCGGAGGAUAGUGCUGACUCUACAGAGGAGUAUCAAGGACAAACCAAGAGAAAACGCAUUCGAAGGAAGAAACAAAAGAACAGUUUGCAAAACUCUAAUAAUCUACAUGGAGAACAAACAGAAUCCGGAAUGCAAGAGACUCUUGUUCAAGAUAAUUUACAGCUGCAGCAGAUAGACAGCCCCAAAAUAAGCAAAAACAAAAAGAGGAAAAUGAAAAAGAAGCGACAGAAAGAAAAAAUGAGAGCAGCUGGCUUGCUAACAAAAAAUACUGGUGUGGAUUUUACAUAUCAGCCUGACAAAAACAACAGAGAAGGAGCAGCAGACUUAAAAGACAUAGAUGAAAAGGCAGAUAGCAUCCUGGAUUUCUUGCAGGCAACACAACAAAUUUAUUUUGCUGACAAUAAAUCAGAAUGCAUGGAUUCUGCUGUAAAUUCAGCAACUACCCAAGAACUUUUACAACAUCUUGAAUCUCGCAACAUAUCUUCCUCAGAUGUGACCCGUCUACAUCAGCUGAAAUCCCUUGUAUUGCUACAGGAUAUUGACAGACUGAAGGAUGCUUUGAAACAAUUCCAAGAACAUUCCAUAAUGCCUCCUGAUCAUACCAAGACAGUCAUUACUCUGUUUCACUACUGGAUUACAGAUAUCCUUCCUGUGAGGAACAGGAAAUAAAGCCUUGCCUGUGUCCAUAUGUGCAGGGUUAAAAUUUAAUAUACAAGCUCUUAAACAAGUAGCAAUUAUUCAGGAAGAACAGUGUCAAUAUAUGUUCUACACCUUCAGUAAAUUGAUAGAUUGAUGGAGGUUAAGGCUGAAAAGGACAGGAGAUUAUCUUCUAUGACCCCAUCUGCAUAUCAGGCCAUAAAUUUUCCUUUUACUUCAGGGUGGAGACCAGUAACUUGACUCUGACAAAAGCACAAUUUGUUUUUUUGGCUAAAGGAAGUCUUGUGCAGAGACAGGCAAGCUUGAUUUAAAGACAUCAAGAAAUGAAGACUUAGCCUCCUUGGUCAUUUAUUUCAGUACCCAGUCACUCUCACCGUUAGAAACCUGUGUUAUUUUUUAUUUGAAUUUGUCUAGAUUUAACUUUCAACCAUUAGUUCUUGGUAUGCUUUUCUACACUAGAUUAAAAUAGUCCCUCACUAGCCAGUAUUUUGUCUGUAAAAGCAUUUGAACACUGUAAUCAAGCUACAAGGCAACCUCCUUUUUGGUAACCUGAGAGGAUUGUCUCUUUAAAUUACUUGCUUUAAGGCAUUUUCUACGGUCUUCAAAUCAUUUUUAUGGCUCUCUUCCACAUUGUCUCCUUUUUUUUUACAUCACUUAGAGAACAAGUGUGUGUGAACUGCACACAGAAUUUCAUUUAAAAUCUCAGCAGUGCCAACUUUCUCCAUUGUUUAUAUCCACUUUUUGCCAUAGGAUUGUGUAGAGAGUCCAUGUUGAAUUAUUUGCCAUGCUAGACAAGUACCCAUCUUGAAAUUUAUUGCUUUCUAGGAUAAAGUCCCUGGUUCUGUCCUUCUUGUUCUGACCUUUUUGUGGUCAUAUCAAGUGUCUGACCUUUUGUGUCGUCAUAUCAACAUUAAUUUUCUUUGACUGUGUCUAAAUUAGUAAAUGAUAGAUUGCUUUGUGUGCCUGUACUGCUUUCAUUAAUGCCUACUAUCUGAUAAUCUUGGUGUCAUCUGCAAAUUUUACCAGCAAUGAUUAUGUUUUCUUACAGAUCAUUAAUAAAAAAUUCUGAACAGUGUUGAAUCUAGUACAACUCUUUAUGGGAUCCAAAGAGAAAUAACAUAAUCCAGUCACGAUGCCGUAUUUCUUCCUUCUUUUUGAAAACUGAACACAGACCAACUGAUUUCUAAUGUAUUUAACAUGCACUUUAUUGUCUUGUACGCUUUUUUUCUUUUGAUCAGAAAGUCAUGUGGCACUGGGUAACUCCACAGGAGUCUAAAUAGCACAAUGUGUAAUGACUGAUGCUCCCAACAAGUGUUUCUUCAUUUUUCUGCAAGAGCAAGUGUUAUUUUUUUAUAGGUAAGGAUAAGAGUCCAAACUAAAGACACAUUACAAAAAUAUGUAAGUCUUUGUUUUUAAAGUAUGUUUAAGGGGAAGCAGAAUACGUGAAAAGUGUUCACUUAAAUAGCCUUUCAACUUCGUCUUAUGUGUUUAUUUUGAAUUUGCUGCUCUGCAGGGAAUGGUUUGUGUUAGUUAAGAACGUUUAUUCUGAAAGAUCCCUUGUUUUUAAACAUCAAAGGAAAUUUUGUAGCUGUUUCUCUUCCUGCGAUAUGUGAUCCAUAACUUUAGUUCUGUCACCAAAAUGCAAUGCGCUGUUGUGAUUCCAGUAUUCUCUGUGUUCAACAAGACAAUCCCAUGAUGGUGUCUAGUGUAUAUAUUAUUGGUUGUGUUGCAGCUGGUAAUUGAGGGAAGAUCCCUGCAAAAAGCACAUUAUCUACUGAUGAAAAAUAUGAUUUGAGACUUAGAAAUUUGCGUGGGAAGUAGCAUUCAUAGUUUUAUAGUGGGGCAUAAAAAUUUUCAAGUUUUUACAGAAGCAGUUCUCUGAGCAGAUUUCCGGGGACAUAGCACAGACCUUUAACUCUCAGUGUUAGCAUUAACUACCUAAACAUUGUCUACACCCUCAUCGAUUGUUGGACACCAGUGUGAGGAUUCAUCAGAGACAUUCAUCUAACGUCUUAUCUCCCAGCUUCUACUGCUCAUGGAAUGCCCAGUUGCAGAGGAGAGGCAAUUGGUAUCAUGAAUCAAAAUGCGGGCUGCAUUAACAUUUUCUGCUGGAGCUAGAAACAGCAUAGAGAAAUCCCAGUUACUCUGUCCAGAGCUGUCACAGGCCAGAAGGAUGCAGGAGCAAAUACUCAGGAAGAUCCUUAUACGAGAUUGAGCUGCCUGUGGGAUUCCCACUUCAGUGCAAUGGUUCAUCACCCUCGUGGCUCCCUUUAGUCAAGGCUGUAUCACAGGCUGGCCCCAAAGCUGCACAGUGGAAACACAGCGGAGUAAUAACAGCAUAGCAGCACAGCAACCAGCAAAGUCACAGUAAGGCCAAUUAGCACCAGCACUAAACAUGAAAGGAAACAACUUAUAACUCGUACCACCCCAGCACCAGCUGCAGGAGCCUGCAGUUAGAAGGCAGAAUUAAAUGUUUUGUACCAGAAACUG
RNA transcript from Cygnus olor (mute swan), 3519 nucleotides. It is a transcript of the gene named glutamate rich 1, with no coding region annotated. The record is from RefSeq and is a predicted model, not a curated record. The transcript has 7 exons. Lineage: Eukaryota; Metazoa; Chordata; Aves; Anseriformes; Anatidae.